GAAGUGAACCCGAACUAUCUAUAGGCGCAAAAGGACAAGCCAGUAGAGCAUACCAUUAAAAAGACCUCAGAACUCUCUACCUGGCUUAUACAUAACGGAGGGCGGAGACCUACAUGAUGAUCUACGGCCUCGUCCGGCUCGCCGACGCCGACGGAAGAAAGCAACGAAUGUUCUGUCUCCUCUUCCUGAUACUGCGCGGCCUCGUCGGCCUCGCUGCCACCCAGAGAAGGUGGGAACGACUAUUCCGCCUCUUCCUCCUCCGACCGACCAGCCCGCGCGGCCGGGUUAGUUUGGUGUCGGUCCCGCGUACCGAAGAGAGAGACAGAACGAGGAGAGAGCUAGGGGAGGUCCAGGUCGGCGGUGGCGGCUUGCGGCUGGAGGCAGGAGAGGGGGUUGGGGUUGGGGUUGAGGUUGAGGCCGGAGGUGAGGUGGCGGCCGCUAGGUAGGCAAGGGGAAGAGAGGGAGCGGCAUCUAGGCGAGCUCGUCGCGUCGGGUGCCAGUCUAGUCUAGGAGCGCGGGCUUUGGGAUCUGGAGGCCGGUACCGCUGGCCGGCAUCGUGUCCAACCUCCACGGUGGUACCUAAGGAGACGGCCCCUGCGGCGGGUUCACGAGGAGUUCCGGGCGACGAGGAAGAAGGAGGAAAAGGAGUUUAAGUUCCCGUUCGUCGUCGUGUGCGGUAGGAGUUCCGCGUGCCAAGAAGAGAAGAGACUACCUACCUACCUACCUACCUACCCAACCAGCACCUCCUCCUCUUGCUGGUCCUCUUAUCCCUAGGGCAGAGAAGAGAAGAGAAGUAGUUACGGCCGGUCCUUGUUACUGGGUCGGUGGGGAGUUCCUUUCCGUCCUCACGUUUGGGAACCUCAAGUACAUCUCCUUAGGCGAGAGUACCCAGUGUCUCCGGGAGGAGGGUAGUCUUGGCCCGACGGACAACAUACAUGUCGUAUUUCUAAACCUACGUGUGACACCACCAAAGAAGUAUAAUGUGCACGUCGGUCGGCACAUGCAGGUUUGAGAUGGACGGCGACACACUACGGUCGCUAAAGUGGGCGGUGCGGCGCUGGCACCACCACCACUACAGACCGGAGCCGAUGUUGAACGCGUCCUAAACCGGAGACCUAUACCAAGGACACUACAACGAAACAACCGACGAGUAGCCCUUGUGCGGUAACGACAACAACAUGGAAGGGGUUCCAGUGGGUGCCGAGGUUCGAGCUCAGGUACCUAGGGACGAGGUCGCAGUUACUAUCCUAGACCAUGUCGUCUCUUCUUCCCCAAGUAGUAGAAGGAGACUCACCGCCACAACAAACCGUAGCCGAUGUGUUGUCGGUGUGUUUUUCUAAACCUACGUCUGACACCACCAAUGAAGUAUCAUGUGCACGUUGACACAUCCAAGUUUGAGAGGGACGGCAGCACACUGCGGUCGCUAAAGUGAGCGGUACGGUGCUGGUGCCGCCACCGCUACAGGCCGGAGCCGAUGUUGAACGUGUCCUAAACCGGAGACCUACCUACAAUACCAAGUACACUACAAUGAGACGACCGACAGUAGCCCUUGUACGGUAACGAAAACGACAUGGAGUGGGUUCUAGUGGGUACUGAGGGUCGAGCUCAGGAACCUCGGAACGAGGUCGCAGUUACUUUCCUAGGUCAUGUCAUCCCCCCUUCCCCAAAGAGCACGGUCCGUGGAACCGUAGAAAACGACACGGCACCACGACAAACCGUAACCGGUGUUAUCGAUGUCGCUCGAGGAAACGAAGGAGACGAGCGGAGAAUAACGAGACUAUCUACCAAUGUUAAACCAAUCGUUCCACAACAUCCAGCUACCUCCGAUACCAGGGACACUACACAGACCCCAAGUACGCUUAACAACCAAUACAACGAUCACGAUGUUAGACCAACCAAUACAAACGAGACGACCCAAAUCCUACAGAUUCACUCGAUCAAAGGUGACGAGAUUAGUAUAUCCGUAUCAUGUACUAAUGAUCGUUAAGAGAAGACCACAUCCACCAGAUACAAGUAGAGAUCGGGCACACACGACACGACACGAGUACACUCGUCCUUUAAUGGUUCACAUAAAAACAACGUUUACAUAAGACGGGUAAUCGUCUAGUACAACUAUACGAUGUCAUGUCCCCAAAUCAAGUGACUUGCUAGUUACUAGAGAAGAUUCCUUAAGAAGAACAUGCUCAAAGUCAAAAACUACAAGACACGUGACUGGCUAGUUACUGGAAGAUACUCUUCUUUCUUUUAGUGAGUAAGGAUCGACACAUACACACAUAGCUGUUUGUUCAACCAAUAACAGUUCCACCGAACGACGGAGGAUAAACGUAUCUUAUGAAGAAAUAAUGGAGUUGAUCCAGUAACGACAACUACAUGGAAUGGAGUUGAUCGAGUGGGGUACUAAAGAGGUUCGAACCCAGAACAAAACAAAAAGAUAAACCGGAGUUCUAAUAGAAGAAUAAAGAAAACAGGAACACCUCGUCCUAAAAUAAGCAAUGUUAUUCCCCAAGCAGCACGGUCCGAGGCGCCGCGACAACGAAGGUACACUACCACAACAAACCGUAGCCGAUGUUUUUGUCGGUGCUCCUGGCCCUCGAACGUCGUUGUCGUAGAGGCUGGGGAAGGACUACUCGACGUGCAACACCUGGUCCAGGGUCACCUCCCGGCAGUAACCGAGGUGGACGCGGGAGAACGACCGGAAGGUAUCUCCUACUCCUCAAACACCAUCGUAGAGGCCGGGGAGGGACUGCUCGACGUCCAGCAUCUACUCCAGGAUCGGCUCCUCUUGUAAGGGGACCUCCUCCCACAAACUGUUGGACUCCUUACCGGCACUAUAGGAGUGGCGACUGUCGCGGAAGUUUAGAAUCCGGGUUUGUUCGAACUAACUGCUCCUUGGGUUCAAGAACCCAAGCACCUCCGGCGACGGUAGUGCGAACGGUUACCUACAAGACCUCUCGUAUAGAUACACUUCUUUUCUUUUCCGACGGUGUCCUGCGGCGAGUUCCCUUCUUUUAGAUACGACCUCUACCCUCUCGUUCAAAAUAGAACACCUCCCGCUCUUCUGCCUGACUACCUGGAACAUCGCCGCGAACCAACAUUAACUCGAGCAAAACACAACCACAACAAACGAGGAGAGCUCCUGGUAAGUCAAAAAAAAUUCCCUCCUGGUAAGUCAAAGAUUUCUUCCUGUUCUCCGCGUUGCUCAGGUCCUAUUUAUCAUUAUGGACACGACACGUUAACUUAGAGUUCCCCGAGUUAGGUCGUCGAGAGGUGAUCAUCUGAGAUUACAGGUUGCCCUGAUCACAUCACUUUAGAACACUCUACUAAACAACCAACAGAGAUAAGAAGACAUGUAUACUUAAGAUUAAACUCUCUAUACUUUAGAUUUCUACAAACUUUCAACGGUGACGUUAAA
This 3412-nucleotide ribosomal RNA is filed under the name Triticum aestivum (bread wheat). RNAcentral's name for it is "partial small subunit ribosomal RNA". Lineage: Eukaryota; Viridiplantae; Streptophyta; Magnoliopsida; Poales; Poaceae. The record is from RNAcentral.